GAUGUAUAUCCAUAGACUAAAUGUAGAGAGAAAGUGCAUGAUCCUUGGAAAAUAAAGUAUAGUAAAGACAACACAUACAAUAUCCAACUAGUAUUUACUGUUUUAUUCAGACAUUAUAGUUAGAGUCAUGUGGUACAUCUUCAACAUGUGUGUUGCAUAAAGGCUUCACCAUACUAGGUUUGGUUUCCUUCCUGCAGAACUCAGCUAGGCGAAGUGAACAUCUGCGCUCUUAUACUCCCUUAAAAUACAUUAGCUUGAAAAACGAAGAAAAAGCGGCAUUACUGUUUGCCCGUCUUAAGACGACAUAGCAACAAGUAAACUUCCUCAAAACACUGGGAAGCACAAGGUUUGUCGAAGUUCAGUAGCCGAAGUCUACCCCCCUUCGCCGGUGAUUGGCCAACAGUAGGAAUACCUGAAUGAAGCGCUUGUCUUUCAAUGACAGACUAGUUUUCAUGCAAAUACUGCACCAACAUCUUGGUUAGAUGUAACAUUUUGCCACAAAGACCUCCUUGACAAAACGUCAAAAUUAAUUACAUAUUUCUUGAGUUGUCUUAAUUCAUACUAUUUUGAGGAAGUGUACUGGCUACGGCAUCUCAAGAGGGACAAACAUUAACAAUGCCAUUUUUUUUCUCAUUUGUCAAACAAAGGUAUUUUAAGGGAGUAUGCAAGCACAGACUUCGCCUAGCCGAGUUCUGCUAGGAGCAAAACGAGCAUGUGUAUCCGGACACCUUAAGCUUUAUAGUCCACUCCUCUUCAUGCGUAUGUCAUGUUCAGUUCCUGUGUUCUCAGUAAAGGGGCUGUGUCAUCACCGAGGUGAAAUGUUACUAGAAAUGAGUGAAAUUAAGAAAAGGAUUUUCAACAGAAUUCAGUUUGGGUGUGAUGAAUGCAUCGCUGUAUUGCUGUUCUUGUGGGGAAAUCCCCACAAGAAUAGGAAACAAACACACAUUCUGGGACAUUUUGUUUGUCCCCACAAGGUCAAAUGCUUUUUCUAGGGGGUUUAGGGUUAAGGUUAGAAUUAGUGUUGGAAUUAAGUUUAGGGUUAGGAGCUAGGGUUAGGGUUUUGGAUUAAGGUUAGGGUUAGGGUUAAGGUUAGGGAAAAAGUACGGGUUAGGGUUAGGUUUAGAGCUUAGGGAAAAUAGGAUUUUGAAUGGGACUGAAUUCUGUGUCCAAACAAGGUUAGCUGUACAUCUCCUGAUGCACUGAGUCUCAUCCGCAGCUCUGCAUUCUCCCUCUGCAGAACUUUAUAUAUUUUUUAAAGUCAGAUCUCGCCGUUCUCCUCUGAGACUCCUCUCUCUACAAAACGCAUCUGCGAUAAUGAACACCAGCAGGUGAUACUGGGGAGAGGAGCAAGAAAAUAAAAAAGAUAAGAGAUCUGCAAUCUACAACCCAUAGAUGUUUUUAGUGAUGUGCCCUGAAAUCAAGACUGAAUGAUUUCACUGUACUCACAAAUGUCUAGCUCUGAAACAGGUAACAUUGGUACAUAUCUGCAGCUGGGUGUUUAGCCACAAAGCCAAAGACUUUGGGUGGGGUCGGGAGGACGGCACAGAAGGACACAGAGGAGAGGGGGCUGGGAACACAAGACAAAAGAGGGAAGUAAGAAUGAGAGUGAUAAAAAGCGAAAGGAAGAUUAUUGGAAGAGGGAGGAUGGGGCAGUUGUAUUACACAACACCAUAGAAACACAGAAAAAUGUAGUUACUUCUGUAAACCAAGUGUACAUUUCUCCUUUUUAGACCUCAUCAUAAUGAAGCAGUUUCAUUUUCCCUUGGAGUUUAACCCUAAGCUCUCACCUUGGAGUUGAACCCUAGGCUCUGACAUUGGAGUUGGACCCUAGGCUCUGACCUUGGAGUUGGAGCCUCUUCCCUUGGAGUUGAACCCUAGGCUCUUCCCUUGGAGUUGAAACCUAGGCUCUGACCUUGGAGUUGGAGCCUCUUCCCUUGGAGUUGAACCCUAGGCUCUGAUCUUGGAGUUGGAGCCUCUUCCCUUGGAGUUGAACCCUAGGCUCUGACCUUGGAGUUGGAGCCUCUUCCCUUGGAGUUGAACCCUAGGCUCUGACCUUGGAGCUGAACCCUAGGCUCUGACCUUGGAGUUGGAGCCUAAGCUCUGACCUUGGAGUUGAACCCUAGGCUCUGACCUUGGAGUUGGAGCCUAAGCUCUUCCUUUUGAGUUAGACCCUAGGCUAUUCCUUUGUUGUUGGACACUACGCAACUAAGCAUUUAACGUUAGGCAGCGUCUUUUUUUGGUGCAGUCCUUGAUUUCAACGUCCACGGACCUACCGGUCCGAAACAAAUCUGAACCAAUCACAGACAUCCGAUCCAGCCUAUAUUUGGCCCAAAUAUAGACGUUCCGAUUUAGUCCAGUCCGGAGCGGCCUUGAUUUAGCCCAAACAUAGACGUCUAGAAUUGGUUCAGAUUUCUAUGUUUCACAAGUUUGGACAGCACAGUACAGUAGAGCACAGCCCGAGUACAGUAGGUUAAAAUACACAGUACAGUACAGGAAGAGUAUAGUACAGUAGAGUCCAGUACAGUACAAUGCAGUGGAGCACACUAGCCUACAGUAAAGAAAAGUGUACUAUAAUGUAUCUUACUUGACUCUACUGUAAUGAACUCUACUGUAAUGUACUCUACUGAAGUAAACUGUACUCUACUGUAAUGUACUCUACUGAAGUAAACAGUACUCUACUGUAAUGUACUACUGAAGUAAACUGUACUCUACUUAAUUAACUAUUCUGUACUGUAAUGUACUGUCCUCUACUGAAUAAAACUGAACUGUCCUGUAGUGUACUCUUCUGUGUUCUACUGUACAAAACUCUACUGUGAUGUUCAAACUUGUGAAACAUAGUCUUUAACGUCUGAUUCGUUCAGAUUUGGAUCUGGUCCGCACCAACCAAAUUGUACUUGUUUGGGGGCAGAGCUCAUUAAUACCCAGCAUGCUUUGCAAGUGUUUGUUUUUAUGUUUACAUUUUGGUCAUUCAGCAGCCGCUCUUAUCCAGUGACUUAGUCAGUGCAUUCAACUAAGGAUAGAUAAAUGACAACAUAUCACAAUAAUAGUGAUAAAAUAAAAUACAUCUCUAACCAUUACUCAGAAUGUUAUUGUAGUUGAAGUGGUCUGUUGGUUUAUUAGCUAUGAUGUAUUACUUUGAACAUCAUUGCUGCCAGAUUUUGAAAAAGCAAGCAUAACUGCAUGUGAUAGAUGGGAGUAAUAAUACAUAUUCCUCUUUCCUAUUAAAAUGUGUGAAAAAAAGUAUAAUUGUGUUGAUAAUUGAGAAUGUUUAGCAGCUGAAAUUUGGCCAUAGAAUCAGUGACUGAAAAAUACUUAUUUACAAUGUCUGCAAAUGACAUUUUUUUUUACAUCCAGAAAAUGUGUAUUUUUACCUUUCAAUCAGCACCUAAAAUCCACAAGAUGUUAAUGUCAGGACAAGAUUACUGUAAUAUGUAUUUUCUAUGUCAUUUUGCUUACUGAGUAGACUCACCUUGGUUUUGUGCUCCAAAAUGUCAAUCCUGCUCAUGGACAAAAACAAACACUUGCUCUUCUUCUGCAGCUUUUCUGUCGACUCUGCGUCAGAUAUCUAAUGGAGGGCAAAGGACAGGGCCUUGCUCAACCACUGAAUAUGAAUAUUUAAAUCAAUCUGAUCUUUUGAAAACUGUUAAUUGAAACCAUGUUAGACACUGAUAAAAUUGCUUCUUUCAUGA
Non-coding RNA from Salmo salar (Atlantic salmon), 3689 nucleotides. The record is from RefSeq and is a predicted model, not a curated record. Lineage: Eukaryota; Metazoa; Chordata; Actinopteri; Salmoniformes; Salmonidae.